UCAGCUAUUCUCUCAUUGCUUUUAAUCAUUUUUAUUUAUCAUCUCUAUCUGUUUGUGUAUAUGCUUACUCAGCUGAUGCAUCAUUAAUGAAGAUUGAUUGAUUUGGAAAGUAAUAGCUAAGACUGAACUCAGCAACCGUUGCAAAGUCGUUACUUUUUUAACCUGAAUAUUGUCUAAUGACGUGGAUGCGUAAAACUGAAAAGUUUCUUGUCGAUCAAGGCUUAAAUCAGUUAGAAGAAUCUCUCUUGGAUUCUUAUUGUGUUUUCUUAUUGUAUGCAUUGUGGCCUUGUCGGUGGACUUGUUAUAUUGUUGAAUAUUUGCAUUAUUACCUUCAUUCAUUCUGGAUUGACUGAUUUACUUUUUUCGCCCAAGCAUUACUCCAGAAGAUUUUAUUUCUUCUGCUUGGAAGGGACAGGGUAGUGGUGGUGGGCUGCAACGAAACAGAGAGGUUAAAGUUGAUCAAGAACUUAAUGAAACUUUAAAAAAACUGUUGUUCCAUGAUAAUACAAAAUGUUUCACUUCUUAAUGGCUUGAUUAAGGCACAUACUGCUUUCUACCAUGCUUGUUGAUGUGUCUUGUGGAUACACCAUUCAUUAACAGUUUGUCCAACAGUUUCCUUUUUUUAAUCAAAAUAUACAUUUUCUUUUGAACAUUAUAAGAAUUCUGUUGACAGACAAAUAUGCCAUGGAUUUCAGUCUAACUUUGUUGGUAGCUCUUUGAUUUUCAGCUUCUGCUCUGAGAGUUAUGUAUGGCGCCCUAAAUUCACCUGGUCAGCUAACAAAAUGGACAGCCAAUGGUGGUGAUCCCUGUGGAGAGUCCUGGAAAGGCAUUACUUGCUCAGGCAAUAAUAGAGUUACUGAAAUGUGGGUUUCUGUCUUCCUUAUUGCCCUUUUUUUUGGAUAAGUGGUUUCUGUUUUCCUUCUUUAUCUUCUUUAUCAUGUUUUUACAACCUCUUGGAAUUGUUUGCUUGGGGAUUUCUGAUGGCUACUUACUUUUCGUUUUCCUUCAGCAAGUUAUCAGGUCUUCAACUCUCUGGUUCACUGGGUUACCAGCUAGCAAGUCUUACAUCUGUGACUAAUUUGUAAGAUAAAUGGCCUUCAAUAAUGUUCUCGUAGAUGUCUCUUUGAUGUAUAUCAAAUCCUUAUACAUGUUUAUUCUUUGUGGAUUCUGCAGUGACAUAAGCAAUAACAACGAUUUAUAUCAAAUCCUUACACAUGUUUAUUCUUUGUGGAUUUUGCAGUGACAUAAGCAAUAACAAUUUGGGAAACCAGUUACCUUAUCAGCUGCCUCCGAAUGUGCAAAGAUUGUAUGUCUUAUAGUAUACUAUCGUCAUUCCAGGCUGUUUUUUCCACUUAUCUUUCUCAAACGUGCCGUGCAAUGCAGGAAUCUUGCUGGCAAUGGUUUUAAUGGUGGCCUGCCAUAUUCAAUUUCACAGAUGACUUCCCUCCGAUACUUGUAUGUAAAAUGUUUGAAUUUGGGUGCGAUUUAUUUCCAGAAGUAAGCUUUUUAUCUGAGGUUAAGCUUGUCAAUGACUUUCUGCAAUAUAUGCAUCUGGCUGUAGAAAUGUCAGUCAUAAUCAAAUUCAAGGGCAAGUGACUGUUGCAUUCGACUCUCUGUCUUCUCUCAACACAUUGUAAGGCCUAUCUUCUUAUCAUGCCAUUUCUUGAGUGUUUUAACAUUACCAUUUUGUGGUCUUAUAUGAGGUGUCGUGGGUAAAACAUGCUAUUCUUAGCUCAUUAACAUAAGCUCUUUUUUCCCAUCUGAGUUAUUUUUCCUAGGGAUAGAAAGUCAAUAUCAUGAAAAUAGUAUCUGAUCUUUGUUCUGAUCUGUAAAGUUAUGUGGUUGUAUGGAUUGAGCUGAGUAAUGUGGCUGAAUACAUUUUGGUGUAUUAUUAAGCCAAGUAUUAGAAACCCAAUAUGAAUAGCUAAACAUUCUUUGUUGCAUAGUUUUGAUUGAUUAGUCUUUAUGCUUCAGGGAUUUCUCAUUUAAUGCGAUGACAGAUAAUCUUCCUCAAAGUUUCAAGGCACUGACUAGUAUGAACAAAAUGUGAGAUAAUAUUUUUCUGCUUCAUCCUUGUAGACAAUUGGUUCAGUGCUUCAAUGAUUGAAGUUUACAUGUUGAAUUAUGCAGGUAUUUGCAGAACAACCAGUUCACAGGAACUAUUGAUGUCCUAGCCAAUCUUCCUCUUGACGAUCUGUGAGUUUUUGAGUCUGUGCUUCUUUUUGGAUAUUAUCUCUGAUGUUUUAUCUUAUUUAUAGAGUUUCAGUUAAAAGCAUCAGUUGACAUUCAUGCUUAUUCCUUUAUUCUUUAGGAAUGUCGAAAACAACCGUUUUACGGGCUGGGUUCCUGAUCAGUUGAAAGGGUUCGUGAAGUAAGUAUCUAAUGUUGGAGUAAUUGGUUUUAUUCUUCAAAGUUAUUUCGAAAGUAAUUUCUGGAUUAUUCAGGCCUUUAUCACUUUUGUAACAGAUCAAAUGGUAAUUCGUGGAACUCAGGACCUGCACCCCCUCCUCCACCCGGCACACCCCCUGCAAGCAGGCCCGAUCGGCACCACAAAUCUGGAGGCAACAAUAGUCCUUCUGGUAGUGGUGGCAGUGGUGAUGGUGGUGGUAAAUCAGGGAUAGGGGGUGGAGCCAUUGCAGGCAUAGUGAUAUCCAUUCUAGUUGUUGGGGCAAUUGUAGCAUUUUUUGUUAUCAAGAAGAGAUCGAGACGGUCAUCGACAGACAUCGAAAAACAUGAUAAUCAGCCAUUUGCUCCUCUUGCUUCAGAGGAAGUACAAGGUACUCUUAUUAGACCCUGUUAUGGUCUCUGUGAUUGUUAUUUAAUCAUGAAACAUAACAAUCAUAGUAUCAUUAGCCUCUUUCAUCUACUUGAGAAGGUGUACCUGCUGCAUUAAAAGAACACUUUCUGUAGUGAAUUUGGGGAAUCAACCUUAACAUUGUGCUUGAUCACUACCUAUUUAGCGUUCAUAGAUUUUAAGUGGUGUAUUACUAAUAGUUGUUCAAAACUUAGCCAGCUACUGCUGUUGAUAUAGAAGAAAAAAACCCACACAGGAACAAACUUUACCAUCAAAAUGUAAAACUGCACAGAUGUGGCUGGUCCUAUCUUCUGAGGAAACAAAACUUUGUAGUUAGUGAAAAAUUCCAAGAACUUAAUUGUAGAAUCCAAACUGAUGUUUAGAUUUUGAUUUUACCUGUUGAAGCUGACAGUGGGAUAAAAAGAAAACUUCAGUUUUAUGUUCUCUUUCAGUGGAUCUGUUCCUAUGGUUGUUCUCAAGAUUUAUAAGUCAGCCCCCUUGAUGGUUUGACUUCCUAUGAAACGUACUCUUCAUAAAUCUAGUAGACCUUCAUAGAACAACUAUUGAUUCAAAUGCAACUCUCAGCAAAUUGAAGAAUCAUAUUCAUGUGCAUAGCUGGAAAAAUUGUUUUUCCCAUUCUAACCUAUUGUGUGUCAACAACCAAAUUCAUCUCUUUGCAAAUUCUAAUUCUUUGCGUUUCUCAGUUUUAUCAGUCAGUUGGUGGGUUCAUAAUUAUGCCUUUUAAGCCGCAUCUCAUUAAUCUGAAUCUGGUCAUGCAUUUGCUUGUUUCUAAUACUUACAGUAUAGAGUUUCCUUUGCUGUCUGGAUUUUUGGUUCAUUGCCCUUUUUUGGCUGCAGAGAUGAAAACUAAUCAAGCUUCUUCUGCACCAAGUGUGAAAACAUUUGAAGCUCCUGCUGUAGUAAAUCUAAGACCUCCACCUAUUGAGCGUCACAAGUCAUUUGAUGAAGAUGAGAUAGCAGCAAAACCAAUUGUCCCACCCAAGAAAGUCAAUACAGCUAAAAUAAAUGCUAGACAAUAUUCAAUUGCGGACCUACAGAUGGCUACUGAUAGCUUCAGUGUUGAUAACCUUAUCGGUGAGGGAUCUUUUGGGCGUGUUUAUCGGGCUCAAUUCGAUGAUGGAAAGGUAUAUUUUCUCCCUUAAUUGAUAACCUUAUUGGUGAGGGAUCCUUUGGGCGUGUUUAUCGGGCUCAAUUCGAUGAUGGAAAGGUAUGUUUUCUCCCUUAUGACUGACUACCUAUGAAAAGAAAAUGUUUGUCUUUAAUUGAAUAUGGAUGUCAUAUCAUGAAUUGAUUUUGUGCUGGUAAUGAAGCAAGACAGUUGAAAUGGAAGAUAAAUGUUCGAUAAGAAAAAUACCUAUGAAUAGAAAAAAAAGAGCAGUUUGAUAACCAAAAAAAAAAAAAUUAUUUAGUUGAAGAGUUAUGUUUGCUCAAAAUUUUUGUUUCGAAGAUACUAUCAUCUAUGCCUGUGUAACUGAACCAUCUUCAUAAGUUCCUUUCUAAUUUUGAAAUCCACA
RNAcentral lists this long non-coding RNA (4329 nucleotides) under Nicotiana benthamiana. Its description in RNAcentral is "long non-coding RNA (NBEN_LNC029830)". The record is from RNAcentral. Lineage: Eukaryota; Viridiplantae; Streptophyta; Magnoliopsida; Solanales; Solanaceae.